ACAAAAACUACUAAAUUAACUUUCGGGCCUACAUACACAAUACUAUUAUACAAUCGUGCUAUAUAGUAGUGUAUAUCUAUCUAUAUAUCUAUAACUAAUCGACUUGUUAGGGGCAUCGACUUGUUUAAUGGCGACGCGCUUAUAACUAGGCUACAAAAAAAAAUAAGAAAGAAAGAAAGUUAAGAUCAAGGCAUACUCAAUUAUUUUCCAUUUCUCUUUGCUCGUCACGUGUGUGUGUCUCUUUUCGUCGUCGUCGUCGUUGUCGUCGUCGGGCGUUACAAAAAAAUAUUCAAACGCAAAAGAAAUAUUAGCAGUAUUAUCUUUGAAACGACUCUAAAAAGAAAUUAAUUUUUAUAUAUAAAAAAAACACCAAACAAAAUUUAAA
Drosophila willistoni is the source of this 385-nucleotide long non-coding RNA. RefSeq lists it as uncharacterized. NCBI's taxonomy places the organism in Eukaryota, Metazoa, Arthropoda, Insecta, Diptera, Drosophilidae. The record is from RefSeq and is a predicted model, not a curated record. The transcript has 3 exons.